This 429-nucleotide ribosomal RNA is filed under the name Pseudomonadota bacterium. RNAcentral describes it as "Proteobacteria bacterium partial 16S ribosomal RNA". It matches the Rfam family "Bacterial small subunit ribosomal RNA", at positions 355 to 776 of the family's 1533-position model. Lineage: Bacteria; Pseudomonadati; Pseudomonadota. The record is from RNAcentral.
UGGGGAAUAUUGGACAAUGGGGGAACCCUGAUCCAGCCAUGCCGCGUGUGUGAAGAAGGCCUUAUGGUUGUAAAGCACUUUAAGCGAGGAGGAGGGUACUGGUAUUAAUACUACCAGGUACUGGACGUUACUCGCAGAAUAAGCACCGGCUAACUCUGUGCCAGCAGCCGCGGUAAUACAGAGGGUGCGAGCGUUAAUCGGAUUUACUGGGCGUAAAGCGUGCGUAGGCGGCUAAUUGAGUCGGAUGUGAAAUCCCCGAGCUUAACUUGGGAAUUGCAUUCGAUACUGGUUAGCUAGAGUGUGGGAGAGGAUGGUAGAAUUCCAGGUGUAGCGGUGAAAUGCGUAGAGAUCUGGAGGAAUACCGAUGGCGAAGGCAGCCAUCUGGCCUAACACUGACGCUGAGGUACGAAAGCAUGGGGAGCAAACAGG